RNAcentral lists this ribosomal RNA (501 nucleotides) under Afroptilum lepidum. RNAcentral's name for it is "partial 16S ribosomal RNA". It matches the Rfam family "Bacterial large subunit ribosomal RNA", at positions 1816 to 2603 of the family's 2925-position model. Lineage: Eukaryota; Metazoa; Arthropoda; Insecta; Ephemeroptera; Baetidae. The record is from RNAcentral.
UGUUUAAUGAAAUAAUUUUAAAUAACGCCUGCCCACUGAUUUUAAAGGGCCGCAGUAUACUGACUGUGCAAAGGUAGCAUAAUCAUUUGUCUUUUAAUUGAAGGCUUGUAUGAAUGGCGAGACGGGGUAAUAUCUGUCCCAAAUUUAGUAUCUAAAUUUAAUUUAUAAGUUAAAAAGCUUAUAUAAAAACGCAGGACGAGAAGACCCCAUAGAGCUUAAUAAGGUGCACAUAAAUUUAUUUAGACAACUAUUAAAUUUUGAUUUUAACUUAUUUGGUUGGGGCGACUUGAAGUAACUUAACACUUUAAUUUAAAACUUUAAUAAUAGAAUAAUUGACCCUGUAGAUGAUUAAAAAAUAAAGUUACCUUGGGGAUAACAGCGUAAUCUAGUCUAAGAGUUCUUAUCAAAAACUAGGAUUGCGACCUCGAUGUUGGAUUAAGAAUCUUCUUAGGUGUAGCAGCCUAAAGUGGGGGUCUGUUCGACCUUUAAAUUCUUACAUGA